UAGGAUAGGAUCGCUCCCGAUUAUGGUUGUUGGCGAGGUAAUGGCUCACCAAGCCUAUGAUCGGUACGGGCCGUGAGAGCGGGAGCCCGGAGAUGGGUACUGAGACAAGGACCCAGGCCUUACGAGGCGCAGCAGGCGCGAAACCUUUACAAUGCACGAAAGUGUGAUAAGGUUACCCGGAGUGCUAAGAGAAAACUUUUAGCUGUUGUGGGGAGUAGGUAUCCCCACCAGAAAGGAGAGGGCAAGGCUGGUGCCAGCCGCCGCGGUAAAACCAGCUCUUCAAGUGAUCGGGACUUUUAUUGGGCUUAAAGCGUCCGUAGCCGGGUUGGUAAGUUCCUGGUAAAAUCUGGCCGCUUAACGGUCAGCAGGCUAGGAAUACUGCCUUCCUUGAGGGUGGGAAAGGUCUGAGGUACUCUGGGGGUAGCGGUGAAAUGUGAUAAUCCUCAGGGGACCACCAGUGGCGAAGGCGUCAGACUGGAACACGCCUGACGGUGAGGGACGAAAGCUAGGGGAGCGAACGGGAUCAGAUACCCCGGUAGUCCUAGCUGUAAACGAUGUGCGUUAGGUGUCGGUGGGGCUAGGAGCCGCACCGGUGCCGUAGAGAAAUCGUUAAACGCACCGCCUGGGAAGUACGCUCGCAAGAGUGAAACUUAAAGGAAUUGGCGGGGGAGCACCACAAGGGGUGAAGCCUGCGGUUCAAUUGGACAACGCCGGGAAGCUUACCAGGGGCGACAGCAGUAUGAAGGUCAGGCUGACGACCUUACCAGACAAGCUGAGCGGAGGUGCAUGGCCGUCGCCAGUUCGUGCCGUGAGGUAUCCUGUUAAGUCAGGCAACGAACGAGACCCACACACUUAGUUACCAGCAACCGUCUUCGGAUGGGUUGGGAACGCUAGGUGAACCGCCGCCGUACAGACGGAGGAAGGGGUGGGCCACGGCAGGUCAGUAUGCCCCCAAUCCCCUGGGCCACACGCGGGCUGCAAUGGUGGGGACAAUGGGUUGCAACACCGAAAGGUGAAGCCAAUCUCGAAACCCCAUCUCAGUUGGGAUUGUCGGCUGCAACUCGCCGACAUGAACGUGGAAUCCCUAGUAAUCGUGUGUCAACAUCGCACGGUGAAUACGUCUCUGCUCCUUGCACACACCGCCCGUCGCUCCAUCCGAGUGUAGCGCAAUUGAAAACUAAUCCAUCGGGUAAGCUUGAGAUUGUGUUACGCGAGGAGGGAGAAGUCGUAACAAGGUA
Molecule: ribosomal RNA, 1238 nt
Filed under: metagenome
Description: bacterial SSU rRNA
Rfam family: Archaeal small subunit ribosomal RNA
Source: RNAcentral